This 186-nucleotide ribosomal RNA is filed under the name uncultured bacterium. RNAcentral's name for it is "partial 16S ribosomal RNA". It matches the Rfam family "Bacterial small subunit ribosomal RNA", at positions 355 to 529 of the family's 1533-position model. The record is from RNAcentral.
UAGGGAAUUUUCGUCAAUGGGCGCAAGCCUGAACGAGCGAUGCCGCGUGAGUGAAGAAGGCCUUCGGGUCGUAAAGCUCUGUUGCGGGGGGAAAAAAGGGCAGCAUCAGGAAAUGGGUGCUGACUGAUGGUGCCCCGCCAGAAAGUCACGGCUAACUACGUGCCAGCAGCCGCGUAAUAGCACGCU